This 682-nucleotide ribosomal RNA is filed under the name uncultured Nitrososphaerota archaeon. RNAcentral describes it as "bacterial SSU rRNA". It matches the Rfam family "Archaeal small subunit ribosomal RNA", at positions 75 to 760 of the family's 1478-position model. Lineage: Archaea; Thermoproteati; Nitrososphaerota. The record is from RNAcentral.
UGCGUGGCAUACGGCUCAGUAACACGUAGUCAACAUGCCCAGGGGACGUGGAUAACCUCGGGAAACUGAGGAUAAACCACGAUAGGCCAAGAUUUCUGGAAUGAAUCAUGGCUGAAAUCUACAUGGCCCCUGGAUUGGACUGCGGCCGAUCAGGCUGUUGGUGAGGUAAUGGCUCACCAAACCUAUAACCGGUACGGGCUCUGAGAGGAGGAGCCCGGAGAUGGGCACUGAGACAAGGGCCCAGGCCCUAUGGGGCGCAGCAGGCGCGAAACCUCUGCAAUAGGCGAAAGCUUGACAGGGUUACUCUGAGUGAUGCCCGUUAAGGGCAUCUUUUGGCACCUCUAAAAAUGGUGUAGAAUAAGGGGUGGGCAAGUCUGGUGUCAGCCGCCGCGGUAAUACCAGCACCCCGAGUGGUCGGGACGAUUAUUGGGCCUAAAGCAUCCGUAGCCGGUUCUGCAAGUCUUCCGUUAAAUCCACCUGCUCAACAGAUGGGCUGCGGGGGAUACUACAGGGCUAGGAGGCGGGAGAGGCAAGCGGUACUCGGUGGGUAGGGGUAAAAUCCUCUGAUCCACUGAAGACCACCAGUGGCGAAGGCGGCUUGCCAGAACGCGCUCGACGGUGAGGGAUGAAAGCUGGGGGAGCAAACCGGAUUAGAUACCCGGGUAGUCCCAGCUGUAAACGA